Molecule: ribosomal RNA, 1475 nt
Filed under: metagenome
Description: bacterial SSU rRNA
Rfam family: Bacterial small subunit ribosomal RNA
Source: RNAcentral
AGAUUGAACGCUGGCGGCAGGCUUAACACAUGCAAGUCGAGCGGUAGCAGGCCUUCGGGUGCUGACGAGCGGCGGACGGGUGAGGAAUGCAUAGGAAUCUGCCUAUUAGUGGGGGAUAACACGGGGAAACUCGUGCUAAUACCGCAUACGUCCUACGGGAGAAAGCGGGGGAUCUUCGGACCUCGCGCUAAUAGAUGAGCCUAUGCCGGAUUAGCUAGUUGGUAGGGUAAAGGCCUACCAAGGCGACGAUCCGUAGCUGGUCUGAGAGGAUGAUCAGCCACACUGGGACUGAGACACGGCCCAGACUCAUACGGGAGGCAGCAGUGGGGAAUAUUGGACAAUGGGCGCAAGCCUGAUCCAGCCAUGCCGCGUGUGUGAAGAAGGCCUUCGGGUUGUAAAGCACUUUAAGUGGGGAGGAAGGUUAGUGGUUUAAUACGCUACUAAAUUGACGUUACCCACAGAAUAAGCACCGGCUAACUCUGUGCCAGCAGCCGCGGUAAUACAGAGGGUGCAAGCGUUAAUCGGAAUUACUGGGCGUAAAGCGCGCGUAGGUGGUUUUGUAAGUUGAAUGUGAAAUCCCCGGGCUUAACCUGGGAAUGGCAUCCAAAACUGCACGACUAGAGUAUGGGAGAGGGAGGUAGAAUUCCAGGUGUAGCGGUGAAAUGCGUAGAGAUCUGGAGGAAUACCGGUGGCGAAGGCGGCCUCCUGGCCUAAUACUGACACUGAGGUGCGAAAGCGUGGGUAGCAAACAGGAUUAGAUACCCUGGUAGUCCACGCCGUAAACGAUGAGAACUAGCCGUUGGUCUCCUUGAGAGGUUAGUGGCGCAGCUAACGCGAUAAGUUCUCCGCCUGGGGAGUACGGCCGCAAGGUUAAAACUCAAAUGAAUUGACGGGGGCCCGCACAAGCGGUGGAGCAUGUGGUUUAAUUCGACGCAACGCGAAGAACCUUACCUGGUCUUGACAUCCACGGAAUCCUGCAGAGAUGUGGGGGUGCCUUCGGGAACCGUGAGACAGGUGCUGCAUGGCUGUCGUCAGCUCGUGUUGUGAAAUGUUGGGUUAAGUCCCGUAACGAGCGCAACCCUUGUCCUUAGUUGCCAGCGAGUAAUGUCGGGAACUCUAAGGAGACUGCCGGUGACAAACCGGAGGAAGGUGGGGACGACGUCAAGUCAUCAUGGCCCUUACGACCAGGGCUACACACGUGCUACAAUGGCCGGUACAGAGGGUUGCCAAGCCGCGAGGUGGAGCCAAUCCCGAAAAGCCGGUCGUAGUCCGGAUUGCAGUCUGCAACUCGACUGCAUGAAGUCGGAAUCGCUAGUAAUCGCAGAUCAGAAUGCUGCGGUGAAUACGUUCCCGGGCCUUGUACACACCGCCCGUCACACCAUGGGAGUGGGUUGCACCAGAAGUAGUUAGCUUAACCGCAAGGGGAGCGAUUACCACGGUGUGAUUCAUGACUGGGGUGAAGUCGGAACAAGGUA